GCUUGCACCUUUCAAGCGAGUGGCGAACGGGUGAGUAACACGUGGAUAACCUGCCUCAAGGCUGGGGAUAACAUUUGGAAACAGAUGCUAAUACCGAAUAAAACUUAGUAUCGCAUGAUACAAAGUUGAAAGGCGCUACGGCGUCACCUAGAGAUGGGUCCGCGGUGCAUUAGUUAGUUGGUGGGGUAAAGGCCUACCAAGACAAUGAUGCAUAGCCGAGUUGAGAGACUGAUCGGCCACAUUGGGACUGAGACACGGCCCAAACUCCUACGGGAGGCUGCAGUAGGGAAUCUUCCACAAUGGGCGAAAGCCUGAUGGAGCAACGCCGCGUGUGUGAUGAAGGCUUUAGGGUCGUAAAGCACUGUUGUAUGGGAAGAAAUGCUAGAAUAGGGAAUGAUUCUAGUUCGACGGUACCAUACCAGAAAGGGACGGCUAAAUACGUGCCAGCAGCCGCGGUAAUACGUAUGUCCCGAGCGUUAUCCGGAUUUAUUGGGCGUAAAGCGAGCGCAGACGGUUGAUUAAGUCUGAUGUGAAAGCCCGGAGCUCAACUCCGGAAUGGCAUUGGAAACUGGUUAACUUGAGUGUUGUAGAGGUAAGUGGAACUCCCUGUAGAAACCGU
Molecule: ribosomal RNA, 619 nt
Filed under: Leuconostoc lactis
Lineage: Bacteria; Bacillati; Bacillota; Bacilli; Lactobacillales; Lactobacillaceae
Description: bacterial SSU rRNA
Rfam family: Bacterial small subunit ribosomal RNA
Source: RNAcentral